GAGUAACGGAGGAGCACGAAGGUUAGCUAAUCACGGUCGGACAUCGUGAGGUUAGUGCAAAGGCAUAAGCUAGCUUGACUGCGAGAGUGACGGCUCGAGCAGGUACGAAAGUCGGGCUUAGUGAUCCGGUGGUUCCGCAUGGAAGGGCCAUCGCUCAACGGAUAAAAGCUACCCCGGGGAUAACAGGCUGAUACCGCCCAAGAGUUCAUAUCGACGGCGGUGUUUGGCACCU
RNAcentral lists this ribosomal RNA (232 nucleotides) under Bacillus safensis. RNAcentral describes it as "partial 23S ribosomal RNA". It matches the Rfam family "Bacterial large subunit ribosomal RNA", at positions 2295 to 2526 of the family's 2925-position model. Lineage: Bacteria; Bacillati; Bacillota; Bacilli; Caryophanales; Bacillaceae. The record is from RNAcentral.